UGGGGAAUUUUGGACAAUGGGCGAAAGCCUGAUCCAGCAAUGCCGCGUGUGUGAAGAAGGCCUUCGGGUUGUAAAGCACUUUUGUCCGGAAAGAAAUCCUUGGCUCUAAUACAGUCGGGGGAUGACGGUACCGGAAGAAUAAGCACCGGCUAACUACGUGCCAGCAGCCGCGGUAAUACGUAGGGUGCAAGCGUUAAUCGGAAUUACUGGGCGUAAAGCGUGCGCAGGCGGUUUGCUAAGACCGAUGUGAAAUCCCCGGGCUCAACCUGGGAACUGCAUUGGUGACUGGCAGGCUAGAGUAUGGCAGAGGGGGGUAGAAUUCCACGUGUAGCAGUGAAAUGCGUAGAGAUGUGGAGGAAUACCGAUGGCGAAGGCAGCCCCCCUGGGGCCAAAUACUGACGCUCAUGCACGAAAGCGUGGGGAGCAAACAGGAUUAGAUACCCUGGUAGUCCACGCCCUAAACGAUGUCAACUAGUUGUUGGGGAUUCAUUUCCUUAGUAACGUAGCUAACGCGUGAAGUUGACCGCCUGGGGAGUACGGUCGCAAGAUUAAAACUCAAAUGAAUUGACGGGGUCAUAGCUGUUUCCU
Molecule: ribosomal RNA, 588 nt
Filed under: uncultured bacterium
Lineage: Bacteria
Description: partial 16S ribosomal RNA
Rfam family: Bacterial small subunit ribosomal RNA
Source: RNAcentral